UACGGGGGGUGCUAGCGUUAUUCGGAAUCAUUGGGCGUAAAGGGCGCGUAGGCGGUCUUUUAAGUCAGAUGUGAAAGCCCUCGGCUUAACCGAGGAAGUGCAUUUGAUACUAAGAGACUUGAGUAUGGGAGAGGGAAGCGGAAUUCCUGGUGUAGCGGUGAAAUGCGUAGAUAUCAGGAGGAACACCAGUGGCGAAGGCGGCUUCCUGGACCAAUACUGACGCUGAGGCGCGAAGGCGUGGGGAG
RNAcentral lists this ribosomal RNA (245 nucleotides) under uncultured Desulfobacteraceae bacterium. RNAcentral's name for it is "partial 16S ribosomal RNA". It matches the Rfam family "Bacterial small subunit ribosomal RNA", at positions 524 to 768 of the family's 1533-position model. Lineage: Bacteria; Pseudomonadati; Thermodesulfobacteriota; Desulfobacteria; Desulfobacterales; Desulfobacteraceae. The record is from RNAcentral.